Long non-coding RNA from Dicentrarchus labrax (European seabass), 312 nucleotides. RefSeq lists it as uncharacterized. NCBI's taxonomy places the organism in Eukaryota, Metazoa, Chordata, Actinopteri, Moronidae. The transcript is spliced from 3 exons. The record is from RefSeq and is a predicted model, not a curated record.
CUUCUCAUAGCGACACAUAUAUAUAAACCACUAGUCCUAACGGGUUAUGGAUGUUCCUAUUGUCACGUGAACGCAGCCUAAGAAAGGCUUCUGACGGCGGGCUUACUAAACCACGGUUCGCAAUAUGUAAGUCAGUCCAAAGUACACCAAAACCUGGGAGGUGGAUGCUUCUGCACGGAGGAAGGCAAAGGGCAAACAUAAGGUUUGAAGAUGACAUAGAGGAAGAUAGAAACCACCGUCAGAAAGCAGGACACGGCCACCACAGCUACCACCAGCCAUGUAAAUGUGGAGUCUGCAAAGAGAAAGACAGAG